RNAcentral lists this small RNA (594 nucleotides) under Pongo abelii (Sumatran orangutan). Its description in RNAcentral is "retained intron". Lineage: Eukaryota; Metazoa; Chordata; Mammalia; Primates; Hominidae. The record is from RNAcentral.
AAAGCAAGAGAUUGAGAGUGGGAAACAGACGGACAGAGAGCAACGCUCAGGUCAUGAAUUUUCUUACUACCUUUAGAAAAUAAAUGACCAUUUUGAUAAUUGCUACUUUAUUGUUUUCCUUAGAACUCUUUCAUCAAUCUACCAACAGCCCUUACCAAUGAGCUCGACUGGCCCCAACUCUCUGGUGCUACAGGAUUUCUGGACUCCACUGUUGGAAUUAAAGAAAAAUCUAUUUACCUUCGCUUAUGGAAAAGAAACCACUGUAAUCACAGGGACUACCAGAAUAUUUCAAGAAAUGGUGCAUCUUCCCGAAACCUGAAGAAAUUUAUAGAAAGCUUGUCUAGAAACAAGAUGUUGGACUAUCCCGCCAUCGUUAUAUAUGCCAUGAUUGGAAAUGAUGUCUGCAGUGGGAAGAGUGACCCAGUCCCAGCCAUGACCACUCCUGAGAAACUCUGCUCCAACAUCAUGCAGACUCUGAAGCAUCUAAAUUCCCACCUGCCCAAUGGCAGCCAUGUUAUUUUUUAUGGCUUACCAGAUGGAACCUUUCUCUGGGAUAAUUUACACAACAGAUAUCAUCCUCUCGGCCAGCUAAAU